GACGAACGCUGGCGGCGUGCUUAACACAUGCAAGUCGAACGGAAAGGCCCUGCUUUUGUGGGGUGCUCGAGUGGCGAACGGGUGAGUAACACGUGAGUAACCUGCCCUUGACUUUGGGAUAACUUCAGGAAACUGGGGCUAAUACCGGAUAGGAGCUCCUGCUGCAUGGUGGGGGUUGGAAAGUUUCGGCGGUUGGGGAUGGACUCGCGGCUUAUCAGCUUGUUGGUGGGGUAGUGGCUUACCAAGGCUUUGACGGGUAGCCGGCCUGAGAGGGUGACCGGCCACACGGGGACUGAGACAGGGUCCAGACGCCUAAGGGAGGCAGCAGGAGGGAACCUUCCGCAAUGGGCGAAAGCCUGACGGAGCAACGCCGCGUGAGUGAUGAAGGUCGUCGGAUCGUAAAACUCUGUUAUUAGGGAAGAACAAAUGUGUAAGUAACUAUGCACGUCUUGACGGUACCUAAUCAGAAAGCCACGGCUAACUACGUG
This 488-nucleotide ribosomal RNA is filed under the name uncultured bacterium. Its description in RNAcentral is "partial 16S ribosomal RNA". It matches the Rfam family "Bacterial small subunit ribosomal RNA", at positions 28 to 507 of the family's 1533-position model. The record is from RNAcentral.